AACGUAGGGCGCGAGCGUUGUCCGGAUUUAUUGGGCGUAAAGAGCUCGUAGGCGGCUCGGUAAGUCGGAUGUGAAAACUCGGGGCUCAACCCCGAGACGCCAUCCGAUACUGCUGUGGCUUGAGUCUGGUAGGGGAGAACGGAAUUCCUGGUGUAGCGGUGAAAUGCGCAGAUAUCAGGAGGAACACCGGUGGCGAAGGCGGUUCUCUGGGCCAGUACUGACGCUGAGGAGCGAAAGCGUGGGUAGCAAACAGG
Molecule: ribosomal RNA, 254 nt
Filed under: uncultured bacterium
Lineage: Bacteria
Description: partial 16S ribosomal RNA
Rfam family: Bacterial small subunit ribosomal RNA
Source: RNAcentral